CCUACGGGAGGCAGCAGUAGGGAAUCUUCCACAAUGGACGAAAGUCUGAUGGAGCAACGCCGCGUGAGUGAAGAAGGGUUUCAGCUCGUAAAACUCUGUUGUUAAAGAAGAACAUAUCUGAGAGUAACUGUUCAGGUAUUGACGGUAUUUAACCAGAAAGCCACGGCUAACUACGUGCCAGCAGCCGCGGUAAU
This 194-nucleotide ribosomal RNA is filed under the name uncultured bacterium. RNAcentral's name for it is "partial 16S ribosomal RNA". It matches the Rfam family "Bacterial small subunit ribosomal RNA", at positions 338 to 524 of the family's 1533-position model. The record is from RNAcentral.